AUAAAGUUUUAUUUUAGCUUAAAAAUUUAUUAUUAAAUUAUUUUAUAUGUAAAUUUUUGUGAGAAUUUAUAUUUAUUUUAAAAAUAAUUAUAAUUUUUUUAUUCGCAGUAAUUAAUUUUAUUAUUUAAAGAAAUUUAGAAAUAGUAAUUUUAUAGAGUAUUGGUUAAAUUUGUGCCAGCAUCCGCGGUUAUACAAAUAAUACAAGUAAAUUUAUAUUAGUAAUAAUUAAAUUGUAUAUAAUUUAUAUAAAAUUAAAUUUAUUAGGUGAAAUUUAUAAAUUUAAGAAUUAUUUUAAUUUAUUUUAUUGAAGUUAAGAAAUUUUAAAUAAAAACUAGGAUUAGAUACCCUAUUAUUUAAAAUUUAAUUUUAAAAACUUAGGUAGUAAUAGUUAUGAUCUUGAAACUUAAAAAAUUUGGCGGUAUUUUAGUCUAUUCAGAGGAACCUGUUUUAUAAUCGAUAAUCCACGUUGGACCUUACUUAAAUUAGUUAAUCAAUUUAUAUACCGUUGUUAUAAGAAUAUUUUAUAAAAAUAAUAAUUUUCUAGAAUUUUAAUUGAAUUUAUAUCAAAUCAAGGUGUAGUUUAUGUUUAAGUAAAAAUGGGUUACAUUUUUAUUAUAAUUGGAUUUAAAAAUGAAAAAUUUAUUGAAAUUGGAUUUGAAUGUAAAAUUAUAAAGAUAAAUAAUUUGAUUUUAGCUCUAAAAUAUGUACAUAUCGCCCGUCGCUCUUAUUAUUAAAAUAAGAUAAGUCGUAACAUAGUAGAUGUACUGGAAAGUGUAUCUAGAAUGA
RNAcentral lists this non-coding RNA (786 nucleotides) under Thaumatomyia glabra. The record is from RNAcentral. Lineage: Eukaryota; Metazoa; Arthropoda; Insecta; Diptera; Chloropidae.